GUCAGCUUGGCCGAGUGGUCUAAGGCGCCAGACUCAAAUUCUGGUGGAGAAAUCCGCGUGAGUUCGAACUCCACAGCUGACA
Molecule: transfer RNA, 82 nt
Filed under: Perkinsus marinus ATCC 50983
Lineage: Eukaryota; Perkinsozoa; Perkinsida; Perkinsidae
Rfam family: tRNA
About the family: Transfer RNA (tRNA) molecules are approximately 80 nucleotides in length. Their secondary structure includes four short double-helical elements and three loops (D, anti-codon, and T loops). Further hydrogen bonds mediate the characteristic L-shaped molecular structure. tRNAs have two regions of fundamental functional importance: the anti-codon, which is responsible for specific mRNA codon recognition, and the 3' end, to which the tRNAs corresponding amino acid is attached (by aminoacyl-tRNA synthetases). tRNAs cope with the degeneracy of the genetic code in two manners: having more than one tRNA (with a specific anti-codon) for a particular amino acid; and 'wobble' base-pairing, i.e. permitting non-standard base-pairing at the 3rd anti-codon position.
Source: Rfam by way of RNAcentral